RNAcentral lists this ribosomal RNA (253 nucleotides) under uncultured bacterium. RNAcentral's name for it is "partial 16S ribosomal RNA". It matches the Rfam family "Bacterial small subunit ribosomal RNA", at positions 524 to 776 of the family's 1533-position model. The record is from RNAcentral.
UACGAAGGGGGCUAGCGUUGCUCGGAAUCACUGGGCGUAAAGGGUGCGUAGGUGGCGGGGCAAGUCUGGUGUGAAAUCCCGUGGCUCAACCCUGGAACUGCACUGGAUACUGCUUUGCUAGAGUACUGGAGAGGGAACUGGAAUUUACGGUGUAGCAGUGAAAUGCGUAGAUAUCGUAAGGAAGACCAGUGGCGAAGGCGAGUUCCUGGACAGUUACUGACACUGAGGCACGAAGGCCAGGGGAGCAAACGGG